Molecule: ribosomal RNA, 274 nt
Filed under: uncultured bacterium
Lineage: Bacteria
Description: partial 16S ribosomal RNA
Rfam family: Bacterial small subunit ribosomal RNA
Source: RNAcentral
AUACGGAGGGUGCAAGCGUUAAUCGGAAUUACUGGGCGUAAAGGGCGCGUAGGUGGUUUGAUAAGUCAGAUGUGAAAUCCCUGGGCUUAACCUGGGAAUUGCAUUUGAUACUGUCAGACUAGAGUGUGGUAGAGGUAAGCGGAAUUCCCGGUGUAGCGGUGAAAUGCGUAGAUAUCGGGAAGAACAUCAGUGGCGAAGGCGGCUUACUGGAUCAACACUGACACUGAGGCGCGAAAGCGUGGGUAGCAAACAGGAUUAGAAACCCCAGUAGUCC